AACCAACAGGGAUUGCCCCAGUAACGGCGAGUGAAGCGGCAACAGCUCAAAUUUGAAAUCUGGCUUCGGCCCGAGUUGUAAUUUGUAGAGGAUGCUUUGGGCGCGGCGCCUUCUGAGUUCCCUGGAACGGGACGCCACAGAGGGUGAGAGCCCCGUAUAGUUGGACGCCUAGCCUGUGUAAAGCUCCUUCGACGAGUCGAGUAGUUUGGGAAUGCUGCUCAAAAUGGGAGGUAAAUUUCUUCUAAAGCUAAAUACCGGCCAGAGACCGAUAGCGCACAAGUAGAGUGAUCGAAAGAUGAAAAGCACUUUGAAAAGAGGGUUAAAUAGCACGUGAAAUUGUUGAAAGGGAAGCGCUUGUGACCAGACUUGCGCCGGGCCGAUCAUCCGGGGUUCUCCCCGGUGCACUCGGCCCGGCUCGGGCCAGCAUCGGUUCUCGCGGGGGGACAAAGGCCUCGGGAAUGUAGCUCCUCCGGGAGUGUUAUAGCCCGGGGCGUAAUGCCCUCGCGGGGACCGAGGUACGCGCAUCUGCAAGGAUGCUGGCGUAAUGGUCACCAGCGACCCGUCUUGAAACACGGACCAAGGAGUCAAGGUUUUGCGCGAGUGUUUGGGUGUAAAACCCGCACGCGUAAUGAAAGUGAACGUAGGUGAGAGCUUCGGCGCAUCAUCGACCGAUCCUGAUGUAUUCGGAUGGAUUUGAGUAGGAGCGUUAAGCCUUGGACCCGAAAGAUGGUGAACUAUGCUUGGAUAGGGUGAAGCCAGAGGAAACUCUGGUGGAGGCUCGCAGCGGUUCUGACGUGCAAAUCGAUCGUCAAAUCUGAGCAUGGGGCGAAAGAC
Molecule: ribosomal RNA, 834 nt
Filed under: Ovatospora senegalensis
Lineage: Eukaryota; Fungi; Ascomycota; Sordariomycetes; Sordariales; Chaetomiaceae
Description: eukaryotic LSU rRNA
Rfam family: Eukaryotic large subunit ribosomal RNA
Source: RNAcentral